AUGGCUGCCGCCGCCGCUGCCAAAUCAGAUGAUGAGGACAACUACGAGGAGUACGUCCCCGUCGCCAAGCGCAGGGCCAUGGAGGCUGAUCGCUUCCGCCACCAGCGCCUUCCCAAGCCCGCCGUCCCCUCCCUCCCACCGCCUCCGCCCCCACCGACCAACAACUCCGCCCCCGGCCCCGCCGCCAAGCCCAGCCUCCUCGUCACGUCCACACUGCGCAAGCGCACCGCCCCGGAGAUCACCCCCACCGAGCGGUUGAUACAGGAGGAGCAGAAGAUUGCCGAGGAGGCCUCCUACCGCACGACCCUCAAGCCCGUGGGGGAGAUCGCCAAGGACAUCACCUACACUGAGCCGCUCCGCACCGGCUGGAAGCCGCCGCUGUGGCUCCGCCGCAUGCCGCGCCAAAAGGCCGACGAGCUCCGCCGCAAGUGGCAUAUCCUCGUCGAGGGCGAGGAGGUCCCGCCGGCGGCCCGCAACUUCUGGGACCUCCGGUUCCCCGAGCCCAUCUCCCGCAUGCUCCGGGAGAAGGGCAUCGUGCAGCCCACGCCCAUCCAGGUGCAGGGGCUCCCAGUCGCGCUCUCCGGGCGCGACAUGAUCGGCUUCGCCUUCACCGGCUCUGGGAAGACGCUGGUGUUCGUGCUGCCGCUCAUCAUGGUGGCGCUGCAGGAGGAGAUGCUGAUGCCGAUUGUGCCUGGGGAGGGGCCCUUCGGGAUGAUCAUUUGCCCAUCACGGGAGCUGGCCAAGCAGACGUAUGAUGUUAUCGAUAUGUUCCUCUCUCCCCUCAAGCAGGCCGGGUUCCCAGAAAUACGACCCUUGCUCUGCAUUGGGGGUGUAGACAUGAGGACGCAGCUCGACGUGGUGAGGAAGGGUGUGCAUAUUGUGGUCGCCACGCCUGGACGGCUCAAGGAUCUUCUCGCCAAAAAGAUGAACCUUGACAAUUGCAGGUAUGUAACAUUAGAUGAAGCUGACAGGCUUGUUGAUCUUGGGUUUGAGGAUGACAUUCGGGAGGUUCUUAACCAUUUCAAGGUAAAAGAUAAUUUCAAGGCACCAAGGCAAACCCUUCUUUUUUCUGCCACUAUGCCGAAGAAGAUUCAGAACUUCGCAAUGAGCGCCCUCGUGAAGCCAGUUGUUGUCAAUGUCGGAAGAGCUGGAGCAGCAAAUCUUGAUGUCAUUCAAGAAGUUGAGUAUGUCAAGGAAGAUGCCAGAAUUAUAUACCUCCUUGAGUGCCUUCAAAAGACUCCACCUCCAGCUCUUAUAUUUUGUGAAAACAAAGCUGAUGUUGACUACAUCCAUGAGUAUCUUCUUCUAAAGGGUGUUGAAGCAGUUGCAAUCCAUGGAGGAAAAGAUCAGGAGGAAAGACAGAGUGCGAUUGAGUUCUUCAAGAAUGGAAAGAAGGAUGUUUUGGUAGCUACUGAUGUUGCCUCAAAGGGUCUUGAUUUCCCUGAUAUCCAGCAUGUGAUUAACUAUGAUAUGCCUGCCGAGAUAGAGAACUAUGUCCACAGGAUUGGUCGAACUGGCCGAUGUGGGAAAACUGGAAUAGCAACUACAUUCAUCAACAAGAACCAGACAGAGACUACGCUUCUUGACCUGAAGCAUCUGCUCAAGGAAGCGAAGCAAAGAAUACCACCAGUGCUCGCUGAGCUCGUUGACCCACUGGAGGAUGCUGAGGCUAUCGCAAAGGCGAGUGGUGUAAAGGGAUGUGCGUCAUGUGGUGGCCUUGGGCACCGUAUUGCUGACUGUCCUAAGCUGGAGCACCAGAGGUCCGCAGCGAUGGCUGGUUCCAGAAGAGAUUACUACGGUGGUGGAGGUUACCGAGGAGAAAUAUGA
This 1827-nucleotide ribosomal RNA is filed under the name Triticum aestivum (bread wheat). RNAcentral describes it as "partial small subunit ribosomal RNA". Lineage: Eukaryota; Viridiplantae; Streptophyta; Magnoliopsida; Poales; Poaceae. The record is from RNAcentral.